GAGGGUAUAGUUCAAGUGGUAGAGCGCAUACUUAGCAUGCAUAAGGUCCUGGGCUCAAUCCCCAGUACCUCCU
Transfer RNA from Camelus ferus (Wild Bactrian camel), 73 nucleotides. It matches the Rfam family "tRNA". From Rfam's summary of the family: Transfer RNA (tRNA) molecules are approximately 80 nucleotides in length. Their secondary structure includes four short double-helical elements and three loops (D, anti-codon, and T loops). Lineage: Eukaryota; Metazoa; Chordata; Mammalia; Artiodactyla; Camelidae. The record is from Rfam.